UCAGGAUGAACGCUGGCGGCGUGCCUAAUACAUGCAAGUCGAACGAAUCUCUUUUAGAGAUGAGUGGCGAACGGGUGAGUAAUACAUAGGUAACCUGCCCCUGUGCGGGGGAUAACAGGAGGAAACUCCUGCUAAUACCGCAUAGCCAUGAGCACCGCAUGGAGCUCAUGCCAAAUAUCCUUUCGGGGAUAGCGCAGGGAUGGACCUAUGGCGCAUUAGCUGGUUGGCGGGGCAACGGCCCACCAAGGCAACGAUGCGUAGCCGGCCUGAGAGGGCGGACGGCCACAUUGGGACUGAGACACGGCCCAGACUCCUACGGGAGGCAGCAGUAGGGAAUUUUCGGCAAUGGGGGAAACCCUGACCGAGCAACGCCGCGUGAGCGAAGAAGGCCUUCGGGUCGUAAAGCUCUGUUGUAAAGGAAGAACGGCGCAUACAGGAAAUGGUAUGCGAGUGACGGUACUUUACCAGAAAGCCACGGCUAACUACGUGCCAGCAGCCGCGGUAAUACGUAGGUGGCGAGCGUUAUCCGGAAUCAUUGGGCGUAAAGAGGGAGCAGGCGGCCGCAAGGGUCUGUGGUGAAAGACCGAAGCUAAACUUCGGUAAGCCAUGGAAACCGGGCGGCUAGAGUGCGGAAGAGGAUCGUGGAAUUCCAUGUGUAGCGGUGAAAUGCGUAGAUAUAUGGAGGAACACCAGUGGCGAAGGCGACGGUCUGGGCCGCAACUGACGCUCAUUCCCGAAAGCGUGGGGAGCAAAUAGGAUUAGAUACCCUAGUAGUCCACGCCGUAAACGAUGGUCACUAAGUGUCGGGGGUCAAACCCCGGUGCUGCAGUCAACGCAAUAAGUGACCCGCCUGAGUAGUACGUUCGCAAGAAUGAAACUCAAAGGAAUUGACGGAA
RNAcentral lists this ribosomal RNA (896 nucleotides) under uncultured bacterium. Its description in RNAcentral is "bacterial SSU rRNA". It matches the Rfam family "Bacterial small subunit ribosomal RNA", at positions 24 to 918 of the family's 1533-position model. The record is from RNAcentral.